This 375-nucleotide ribosomal RNA is filed under the name uncultured organism. RNAcentral's name for it is "bacterial SSU rRNA". It matches the Rfam family "Bacterial small subunit ribosomal RNA", at positions 526 to 896 of the family's 1533-position model. The record is from RNAcentral.
CGGGGGGAGCAAGCGUUGUUCGGAUUUACUGGGCGUAAAGGGCGCGUAGGCGGCCACCGCAAGUCGACUGUGAAAUCUCCGGGCUUAACCCGGAAAGGUCAGCCGAUACUGCGGGGCUAGAGUGCAGAAGGGGCAACUGGAAUUCUCGGUGUAGCGGUGAAAAUGCGUAGAUAUCGAGAGGAACACCUGCGGCGAAGGCGGGUUGCUGGGCUGACACUGACGCUGAGGCGCGAAAGCUAGGGGAGCGAACGGGAUUAGAUACCCCGGUAGUCCUAGCCUUAAACGAUGAAUGCUUGGUGUCUGGGGUUUUAUAGUCCCCGGGUGCCGUCGCUAACGCUUUAAGCAUUCCGCCUGGGGAGUACGGUCGCAAGACUG